RNAcentral lists this ribosomal RNA (251 nucleotides) under uncultured bacterium. Its description in RNAcentral is "partial 16S ribosomal RNA". It matches the Rfam family "Bacterial small subunit ribosomal RNA", at positions 524 to 776 of the family's 1533-position model. The record is from RNAcentral.
UACAGAGGUCUCAAGCGUUGUUCGGAUUCAUUGGCGUAAAGGGUGCGUAGGUGGCGGGGUAAGUCAGGUGUGAAAUCUCGGAGCUCAACUCCGAAACUGCACUUGAUACUGCCUUGCUCGAGUACUGGAGAGGAGAUUGGAAUUACGGUGUAGCAGUGAAAUGCGUAGAUAUCGUAAGGAAGACCAGUGGCGAAGGCGAAUCUCUGGACAGUUACUGACACUGAGGCACGAAGGCCAGGGGAGCAAACGGG